GUGAGGAAUUUUCCGCAAUGGGCGAAAGCCUGACGGAGCAAUGCCGCGUGAAGGAUGAAGGCCUAUGGGUUGUAAACUUCUUUUCUCAGAAAAGAAUUAUGACGGUAUCUGAGGAAUAAGCAUCGGCUAACUCUGUGCCAGCAGCCGCGGUAUGACAGAGGAUGCAAGCGUUAUCCGGAAUGAUUGGGCGUAAAGCGUCUGUAGGUUGUUUAAAAAGUAUUCUGUCAAAGAUUAGGGCUUAACCCUAGAUAGGCAGAAUAAACUUUUAAGCUAGAGUUUGGUAGAGGCAGAGGGAAUUCCCGGUGGAGCGGUGAAAUGCGUAGAUAUCGGGAGGAACACCAAAGGCGAAGGCACUCUGCUGGGCCAAUACUAACACUGAGAGACGAAAGCGAGGGGAGCAAAUGGGAUUAGAAACCCGGGUAGUCC
This 426-nucleotide ribosomal RNA is filed under the name uncultured bacterium. Its description in RNAcentral is "bacterial SSU rRNA". It matches the Rfam family "Bacterial small subunit ribosomal RNA", at positions 354 to 796 of the family's 1533-position model. The record is from RNAcentral.